GAGAGGUAGGAGAGAUCCAGAGACUGUCAUAUUGUGUCUUAUUCAGUGUGUGAUCAGUCAUGUGUUGUGAACUGACAGCAGGUUUGUCUCUCUACACUCACAGCUCUCUCCAAGAGGAGACACAGGAGCACGACUGAGGCCGUUUAUGAGGAGCUUCAUCACAGACCCACUCAUAGACAGAGUCUCUUCAUUGGGGGAAGUGUCUUUCCUGAAGAACAGCAUUCUGGGUAUGAAGAUGCUGAUGAGCUUCUUUCAGUAGGAGCCGCUCCUGACUACUGUAAUGAUGUCAUCACCACUGAAGGGCCAAAAGAAGAGCAGCAAGUCACACCUGAAAAUUAUGAUGAUGUAAUCACUGUUGGACUGAGACCUCGUGAUACAGAAAACUAUGAUGAUGUCAUAAUUGCACUACAAUUCUCCAAUGAUAAAGCAGAUGGUGUUCAGGAGGAUUAUGCGGAUGUGAAGAAUGUCAGGGAGUAUAUGAGUGACGUGAUUGACUAUGAUGAUGUGGAGGAUGAGCCAGAAAAACAGGGAGGGACUGUGUAACUCAAACCACACCUACUGCCUCAAAUCCUUUCAAAGCUUUUAAGUGAUCCGAAACAUUUCUAUGAUGUAGAUUUGGCAAUUUGAGAACAAAAAAACAAAACAAAAAACCUUUUAAUCAGUUUGUAUAUAACUGUUAUGAUUUCAGAUGCUUCACCAUUUACCGUCUUUAACGUUUUACAGCAACUUAAAAAUAUUAUACUUAAAAAAUAUCAACAUAAAAAUAUUAUAUUUCUUUUGAAUGUAGACCCACUGAUAGUGUACACAAUAUUUUACUAAAGAUCAUUGGAAUGUACUUUGGGAAAUAAGUUUAUAAACAGCAGCUGUGGUCAAGGAUCUUUACCUCAAAAUAAUGUAAUGACUCUUUGAACUGAGCAGAAGAGCUUGUUGUUCACUUUAUGUCCUGCAGAGGGUUUUGUGACAGUCAGACAUUGAUACAUGGCAUUCAUAUGUUUGUUUUAUGUACUAGUUUUAUAUUUGUUUCCAAUUUGAUUGCUGGUUUGAAUUGAUUUAAAUGUUUUCCGUUUAGCAUUUAAAAUCAGACUAACUAUGUGCAUGGAUAUUAUGUCAUUAUUAUAAUUAUUGUGAAACUGAGAAAUGUUGCAGCAUUUUUAUUUUUUUUUUAUUUUUUUUUUUGCACACACAAUGCAAAAUUCAAUAAAAGUCUAUGGAAUAUUGUAUUCUGUUAUUCAGUAGUUUGAUAUGGCUCUCUGUCUUAGUGUUUUUCAUCAGC
Molecule: long non-coding RNA, 1273 nt
Organism: Megalobrama amblycephala (Wuchang bream)
Lineage: Eukaryota; Metazoa; Chordata; Actinopteri; Cypriniformes; Xenocyprididae
Exons: 7
Source: RefSeq, a predicted model, not a curated record